RNAcentral lists this ribosomal RNA (496 nucleotides) under uncultured bacterium. Its description in RNAcentral is "partial 16S ribosomal RNA". It matches the Rfam family "Bacterial small subunit ribosomal RNA", at positions 28 to 507 of the family's 1533-position model. The record is from RNAcentral.
GAUGAACGCUGGCGGCGUGCCUAAUACAUGCAAGUCGAGCGAACAGACGAGGAGCUUGCUCCUCUGACGUGGCGGAGGACGGGUGAGUACCAAGUGGAUAACCUACCUAUAAGACUGGGAUAACUUCGGGAAACCGGAGCUAAUACCGGGUAAUAUAUUAAACCGCAUGGUUCAAUAGUAAAAGACGCUUUUGCUGUAACUUAUAGAUGGAUCCGCGCCGCAUUAGCUAGUUGGUAAGGUAACGGCUUACCAAGGCGACGAUGCGUAGCCGACCUGAGAGGAUGAUCGGCCACACUGGAACUGAGACACGGUCCAGACUCCUACGGGAGGCAGCAGUAGGGAAUAUUCGGCAAUGGGCGAAAGCCUGACGGAGCAACGCCGCGUGAGUGAUGAAGGUCUUCGGAUCGUAAAACUCUGUUAUUAGGGAAGAACAAAUGUGUAAGUAACUAUGCACGUCUUGACGGUACCUAAUCAGAAAGCCACGGCUAACUACGUG